Papaver somniferum (opium poppy) is the source of this 2436-nucleotide long non-coding RNA. RefSeq lists it as uncharacterized. The transcript has 7 exons. NCBI's taxonomy places the organism in Eukaryota, Viridiplantae, Streptophyta, Magnoliopsida, Ranunculales, Papaveraceae. The record is from RefSeq and is a predicted model, not a curated record.
GCCAACCAAAGAAGAUGAAACCCCAGAACCAAAAGAGAAGUUCUGAUUUCUUAUCUUCACCCCGUCGUCUGUUUUUCCCCCUCCGGAAACUUAACUACCCGAGGAGACUCUAACUAAGAAGAAGAAAUGACGAUAUUGAACAAACCUAAGAGGAGAUCGAAGAAGAAGAAGAUAUCAAAUUAAAAUGAUCUGUAAUUGCUGUGGUUCUUGUGACAUUAAAGGUAAGGGACCUGAAAGAGAAAAAUAUGAAGAAAAAAUAAAGGGGUUGCAUCUAAAACGUGUUGCUUUUCGCACGAUGUGGCUAGCUGCUGAAGAUUAUCCAUUGUUGCUUGGAUCAGCAGACUUAGGUUUUUGCUUGCAUACUUCCUCAUCUGGGUUGGAUCUUCCGAUGAAGGUCGUUCUCUGAGGGUUGGAUCUUCCGAUGAAAGUAAUUCUCUGAGUUAGUGCAAGAACCCGAGACAUAAAACCAAGUUAGAAACCCCAGCCAAAUAAAUUAAUAACUGGAUUUCGAAAUGGAAUUCACUUUCAUGGAUAUGCCUUUUAACUCUCUGGGUCCAGGUCGUGGAUAUGUUCGGCAGUGGACUUCCAGUAUGUGUGGGUUUCGUUCUCAUGAGCUUGUAAAGGAUGGGGAAAAUGGUCUUCUCAUCUGAUCUUGCUGACGAACUCCUGACCCAAUUCAGUGGGGCCAAUUAAAGUGGUUACAGUAUGCUUUCUGGUGGUAGGCUUUUGUUUUGGUGUUUCCGACCCGAAGUCCCAAUUCAAGUGCUACAAACUGUUUCUGGACACAGUGUAAGGCUCAAUUUUAAUACACUACCUAGAAUCCCAGAUGCCUUACUAAUAGUGCCUCUAAUGUGUUCUCAUUCUUGACUAUUGACGAGUCCCAAGUUACGACUUCAAAUCAGUUAAACGUUUGGGAACAUAUACCUAAUUUGUCUGACUAGUGUGCUUGGGUUGAAGGAAUCCGCCAUGUCAUUGUGUUUUCAGACAGUGGAACUGACACCUCCAAAUGUUUUAACUCGGGUCUCCGCAUUCUAAAACCGCUCUGAGACAGUUUCAAGGUUGAGCACAGACAUGUUUUGAUGACUAUGUGAUCUGAGUUUUUUUUAUUAUUGUUUGGAUUUCUCUUCCCUUGUUCCUUUGCUUCCCUUGUGGUCUGAAAGCUAAGAGUAUGUUAUUCUGUUUGCUUAGACAAUAAUUGUUGCUAUCUGUUUGUUGCUUAAGAAACCCCCUUGGCCCUUGUUGCUUUUCCUUGACCUUUGGUUAGAAAUAGGUAUCUAGGCGAGCUUGCAAAAGUUAUGAAUGAGAUUUCACUAUUCGGAGAUCCCUCUGUGUUAUUCUCUUUAAAGGUGAUGUCUGUUUUAUUCUCUUUAAAGGUGAUGUGGUCACACCCAGUAGAUCAUAACUAUUUUAUAUUUGAACUAACAUCAACAAGGCUAUUUUAUUUCCAUCUAAAAGCUUCCGUAUACUUUAAUAUGUUUCGAAUUUGCCCUUUUCCUUCAGACAAUUUAAUGGUUAUUUGAUUAAAGUCCGCUUUGAUUGUUCAUCUAUGCAGUUGAUUAAGUUCAUUCUUUGCUUGUUGAGGUUCUGUAAAAAUGAUUUUUACAGGUGAAAAAUUGAAAUAAAGCAUUACCCAUUAUAUAGGUUAAGGAUUAUACCUAUGUGGGUGAAUGAUUGAGCUGAAAGAACACGUAAUAAUAUAAAAAAAUAUUCAAUUCCGGACUUUAGGAUAGGUUCUUAUCUGUUAUCUUUUAAAUCCCCGUAGUUGUGUCCAGCAAUCCUUGUGCCUUUCUAGAGGUGCUCAACAAACUAGCGUAGAUAUGAGAGACUUAUGUAUAGCCUGCUUUUUUAGUCCGAGACUUAAAGAUGUAUCACAUAGAGAUUCUCGGUUUGUUAGUUCUCAUAGAAGUUUUUCAAACAAUGAAUUCCCAGCAGUCGUUUCAUAAGAGAAUCACUGGACCUGUUGUAAAAUUAGGUUGCAAGAGAUAAAAUAACCCAAGUUUUUCAUUGCAAGAGUAGGCCUGAUAAGAAGUGGCAUAUUGUUUUAGAAUCUCCAAACAAGAAGGUGCUAAUGUGAAUGCUUUUGAGGAUCCUUUCGUUUUUACUGCAUUGCUAAAGAAUCUCUCAUAACGGCAGCAAACUUAGAUGAUAAAAGUAAUUUAGAAGAAGGUGCAUUUGAAGAUUUAGGCGAGGCAGAAGCAUCCCAAGAGUUUCUUUGAGAAUUUCAACACCUGUAAGGGUCCAACAAAAGCUAAUUCAGCAAUCUCAAGAUAAAAUUUAUCAGUACUGGUUUCUGAGUGGUUUUUUUUAACAUAAGCUAACAUAAUGUACUUGUUGAAUAUUCACUUUGGGUAUCAGUUGGGUUUAAUCCUUUAUAUUCAGAUAUUCAAUUAUGGUAAAAGUAUUCGGUUGCAAUUAAAUUGAGUUUAAUCCUCUUUA